GUAGGUGAACCUGCGGAAGGAUCAUUACAAGUCAUGGAGAUGGGGUUGUCGGGUGGGUGGGGGUGUUGGAGGUGAGGAUUGUGAGGGUUGUAUAAUCUGAGGAUUGUGCAAUCUGUACAGUCACACCACACACAACAUCCCCUUCCCACUCUCUCCCCUCCCACAUACGUUCGGAGUCGUAAGGCUUCGUAACACAUUCACGCUUGAUUUGUUUGUCAGAGUAAGAAUACAUAAUGAGCCAUGACAACUUUUAACAAUGGAUCUCUUGGCUCUU
This 274-nucleotide unclassified non-coding RNA is filed under the name rhizosphere metagenome. Its description in RNAcentral is "partial ribosomal RNA internal transcribed spacer region". The record is from RNAcentral.